Molecule: ribosomal RNA, 422 nt
Filed under: uncultured bacterium
Lineage: Bacteria
Description: bacterial SSU rRNA
Rfam family: Bacterial small subunit ribosomal RNA
Source: RNAcentral
UGAGGAAUAUUGGGCAAUGCCCGCAAGGGUGACCCAGCAACGCCGCGUGGAGGAUGAAUGUCGUAAGAUUGUAAACUCCUGUUAGAGGGGAAGAAUAGUACCGGUUGGACCGGUAUAUGACUGUACCCUCAGAGAAAGCCCCGGCUAACUACGUGCCAGCAGCCGCGGUAAUACGUAGGGGGCAAGCGUUGUCCGGAUUUACUGGGUUUAAAGGGUGCGUAGGUGGGUAUGUAAGUCAGUGGUGAAAUCCCCGAGCUUAACUUGGGAACUGCCAUUGAUACUAUAUAUCUUGAAUACCGUAGAGGUAAGCGGAAUAUGUCAUGUAGCGGUGAAAUGCUUAGAUAUGACAUGGAACACCAAUUGCGAAGGCAGCUUACUAUGCGGUGAUUGACACUGAGGCACGAAAGCGUGGGUAGCAAACA